Molecule: long non-coding RNA, 210 nt
Filed under: Physcomitrium patens
Lineage: Eukaryota; Viridiplantae; Streptophyta; Bryopsida; Funariales; Funariaceae
Description: long non-coding RNA (PPAT_LNC007270)
Source: RNAcentral
CAAUUGUGACACUAACAGACCCAAUUUAUAUAACCAGUCUUUCUCCGUGUUCAAACCCACCUCUAUUAGUUCAAUUGCUUUGGUCUACUGAAGCUUGAACACAAUGAGAACAACAUUUUGGUGCCGUUGCCGAGGAAAUGAUAACAAUAUGAAAUGUUAGAAAUUGAUUGUAUGAGAAGAAUGAAAGAUUAUGAGUAAUAAUAAUGAAGG